GACGAACGCUGGCGGCGUGCCUAAUACAUGCAAGUCGAGCGAAUCGACGGGAGCUUGCUCCCUGAGAUUAGCGGCGGACGGGUGAGUAACACGUGGGCAACCUGCCUAUAAGACUGGGAUAACUUCGGGAAACCGGAGCUAAUACCGGAUACGUUCUUUUCUCGCAUGAGAGAAGAUGGAAAGACGGUUUACGCUGUCACUUAUAGAUGGGCCCGCGGCGCAUUAGCUAGUUGGUGAGGUAAUGGCUCACCAAGGCGACGAUGCGUAGCCGACCUGAGAGGGUGAUCGGCCACACUGGGACUGAGACACGGCCCAGACUCCUACGGGAGGCAGCAGUAGGGAAUCUUCCGCAAUGGACGAAAGUCUGACGGAGCAACGCCGCGUGAACGAAGAAGGCCUUCGGGUCGUAAAGUUCUGUUGUUAGGGAAGAACAAGUACCAGAGUAACUGCUGGUACCUUGACGGUACCUAACCAGAAAGCCACGGCUAACUACGUGCCAGCAGCCGCGGUAAUACGUAGGUGGCAAGCGUUGUCCGGAAUUAUUGGGCGUAAAGCGCGCGCAGGUGGUUCCUUAAGUCUGAUGUGAAAGCCCACGGCUCAACCGUGGAGGGUCAUUGGAAACUGGGGAACUUGAGUGCAGAAGAGGAAAGUGGAAUUCCAAGU
This 663-nucleotide ribosomal RNA is filed under the name uncultured Bacillus sp. RNAcentral's name for it is "bacterial SSU rRNA". It matches the Rfam family "Bacterial small subunit ribosomal RNA", at positions 28 to 674 of the family's 1533-position model. The record is from RNAcentral. Lineage: Bacteria; Bacillati; Bacillota; Bacilli; Caryophanales; Bacillaceae.